Cyprinus carpio carpio is the source of this 268-nucleotide long non-coding RNA. Lineage: Eukaryota; Metazoa; Chordata; Actinopteri; Cypriniformes; Cyprinidae. The record is from Ensembl.
AGUUUUCACGGUGUUCAUGGUGCAUGGUGCUCGUUGAGAGGAAGAAAUAAAUUGACACCCGUUUGAAACUCUCUGCGUCUUGAUCAAUAUAUCCGAGGGGCCGCUACAGUGAAAACUCAUCGCUGCACCAGCCCUGCCAUCCCUGGUGAGAAGCUGAUGCCAUCACAUCUGAAGUCCAACCACCAACCUAAUACCGGCCAGUUUACUUCGCUUGCAUCCAACUCCUGCACACAGAGCUCUGAACUGUGAGGGUGUGUCGAGCUAGAGA